CAGCAGCCACGGUAAUACGUAGGUGGCGAGCGUUGUCCGGAAUCAUUGGGCGUAAAGGGAGCGCAGGCGGACAUAUAAGUCCAUCUUAAAAGUGCGGGGCUCAACCCCGUGAGGGGAUGGAAACUGUAUGCCUUGAGUGCAGGAGAGGAAAGCGGAAUUCCCAGUGUAGCGGUGAAAUGCGUAGAUAUUGGGAGGAACACCAGUGGCGAAGGCGGCUUUCUGGACUGUAACUGACGCUGAGGCUCGAAAGCCAGGGGAGCGAACGGGAUUAGAUACCCGUGUAGUCCCUGUCUCUUAUACA
RNAcentral lists this ribosomal RNA (301 nucleotides) under uncultured bacterium. RNAcentral's name for it is "partial 16S ribosomal RNA". It matches the Rfam family "Bacterial small subunit ribosomal RNA", at positions 509 to 809 of the family's 1533-position model. The record is from RNAcentral.